Molecule: small RNA, 1661 nt
Filed under: Theobroma cacao (cacao)
Lineage: Eukaryota; Viridiplantae; Streptophyta; Magnoliopsida; Malvales; Malvaceae
Description: sRNA Tc07v2_g015070
Source: RNAcentral
GAUUCUGAAAUUUAUGUUUAUAUGCUCAGAAAUUUUGGUGAAACAUCAAAGCUAAGGCUUUUGAGAUUUUUCAAGUCAUCUAAGUUCAUCUGAGAUAAGGAACGAUCGAAAGAUUCGAGGAAAUCACAAGAGAAAAGCAGUGAUUGAGUCUUCGAUCGAGUGAUAGCAGAUAGUACUUGAUAGCGGCCAGUUUCAUGGAGACGUGUUCCGUUCCUCUUUUGAUAGGUGAUUUCAUAGCUAUUUGCAACCUAGAGGUCAAGCCAUGUUUCAUUGAUGAGUUAAUCUUACCAUACAUUUAUGUUUACAGACUAUGAACAUGUUUAUGUUAAUGUUGUCAAUGUUUGGGCAUUGUACAUUAACAAUGUUAUGUAUGACAUUAUGAUGAUGGCUCGAGAGCCUACAUGGACACCCGAGGGUGUUGUUGACAUUUAAUAUUAUUGUGCACUAUGACAGUGACACUUGUUAAUAUAUAUAAAAUUCUUUAGCUUAAACAAUUAAGUUGGGAAGUUCUUUAAUUGUGUAAUGAGUUUUAUGAAUGCAUGCAUGAUGAUAUUGUAUGUUAAUGAAUGUUAUAAGACGUUUUCGCAUGUAAUGAUGAAUGUUUAAUGAUGUUUAUGAUAAGAGACUUGCUUGGGCUUAAUGCGUUUUACUCGUUUGAGUUUAUGCACUGAUCAUAAUCCUUCCAAGAAAUGGGAUAUGACAAUUUCUAAGGUUUACAAAUGGGUUUUCAAACAAAAUUUUAUUUAAAAAUUCCGAGACAAAUUUGUAUUCGUUGAAACGAAGAUUUGAGAUUUUUGAAUAAUUGGUUGUGCUUGUCACAUAACUGCACCUUUGGAUAUUUGGUCUUGCUCGAGACGUGAAUUCUUGAACUCUUUAGAUAUUUGAUAUGCCUAAAAGGAGGCUUGAUAUUGUUUGGAAAUAAAUCACUUGCAUUAUUCUAAAAGUAUCUUUAAUAAACACUCUCCCUUUUAACUUGUUCCCUUUUUUCAUAUCUGUUGAUGGAGUUAUUUUAUAACUCAUACAUGUAAGAUGCAAUUGUUGUUUCAAAUCAGUAGAUUGCUUGGCUCACUGUCCUUUGGGAAAAGCUACUUCUACAAUCGGUUUGGUAGGUAAUUGAUACGGCUUCCAAUAGGUGUCAACCCUUUUGUUUUAAGUUGUACUCCGCUAGUCUGUCUAUUAUGUUAGUCUGUCAUGGAUUUUAAACUCUAUUUAUUGUUUUGUAAUGAAUGUUAUACUUUGAGAUUGGCAUGGAAUGACUUAUACUUGAAAUUACCCAAGGUGGCUUAUAAUUGAAAUUUGUAUUUGUUAUACUUUCGCACUUUGAGCAUGAAAUAGUGCAAGUUGAUAUUUUGACGUUUGACAUAAUUAUAAUUAUACAUGCUUGUAUAAGAUACCUUAUUUGAGUAAUUUGCUUAUUUGUUUUGAGGCUUGCCUAGGUUAUAAGGGUCACUCCCAUCGAUACUAUACACUGGUCAUGGUCCCUAGGUUUGCGUCGUGACACUUUGGGUUGUUUUAUGUAAAAAGGGGUUGUUCUUUGUUACGAAAAGUCUUCUAUUUACAAAAGUUGACUUGAAACAACAUCUUUGUAUUCUUGUUAUGAGUAAUACAAAGAUUUUUAUUUUCAAAAACGAUUAUGUAAUUUUCCCAUGAAUUUUUUUCCA